RNAcentral lists this unclassified non-coding RNA (229 nucleotides) under [Clostridium] piliforme (Tyzzer's bacillus). Its description in RNAcentral is "16S-23S ribosomal RNA intergenic spacer". Lineage: Bacteria; Bacillati; Bacillota; Clostridia; Lachnospirales; Lachnospiraceae. The record is from RNAcentral.
UUUCUAAGGAAAAAGGGAAGCUAGUUCAUUAGUAAAUGAUUAUUUAGUUUUGAGUGUUUAUUACACUCUUGUACAUUGAAAAUUGAAUAACAAACACAAUGGUUAUUAAAAAUAACUAAGAGCCAGACAUAGAAAAGAUGUUAAAAUAGCUAUAUAAAUAGCUAAAGAAGUUUGGAAGAGAUAAAAAGAUUUGAACAAUAUAUCAAGUUACGAAGAAGUAAUAAUAAAA